Molecule: long non-coding RNA, 645 nt
Organism: Rhinopithecus roxellana (golden snub-nosed monkey)
Lineage: Eukaryota; Metazoa; Chordata; Mammalia; Primates; Cercopithecidae
Exons: 2
Source: RefSeq, a predicted model, not a curated record
AUGGCAACCGCGGGCAGCCGGGCACUGAGGGCUGGAAAAUGAGGACCCGAGCCAGGUUACAGCCUUGGACUUCGAGCAGCCCAGGGAGUCUCUGCGUCCUCCAGCCCCCGCUUCCCUUCAUGUCGGAGAUGCUAAGCCCGCAGCUAAGUCUGCAAGGAGCUUUCCCCGACGCCCACAAGACCGGAAGUGCCUGGGCCCAGGUGGAGGAAGGACCCGCGUGGCCUCCUCUGCGCCCUCCCUGGCGUCCGCGCCCGUUCCGGCGCUUCUCCCGCGUCCUUCACCAUGGCAACUUCUGGCGUUGGGAGCGUGGGCCGCGAGCCAGCUGCCGGAGGCCUGGCGGCCGUGCGCCUCUGCUCCGGGCAAGCUCUCCCUGCAGGGCCCGGGCGGCGGCAGGGGGCAGUAGCGGCCCGCGAUGCUCGGAGGCUCCCUGGCACGGAGCUCCCGGGCUGGGGCGCCUGGAUCUGGAGAAGCCGAGGGCCUUGGUCACACUCAGAGCUGACGUCCAGUACGGCCCUUGCUGAGAACUCGAGUGAACAGAUCUCUACCCAGCCCCCGCCCCACGCGCGCCCAACCUGGGUCACCUCGCCCUGCCCUCAGCCACGCAGCUGGUGGCUAAGCGCGGGCUCCGGGUUCGGGCUGCCUUGA